Molecule: unclassified non-coding RNA, 263 nt
Filed under: Hevea brasiliensis (rubber tree)
Lineage: Eukaryota; Viridiplantae; Streptophyta; Magnoliopsida; Malpighiales; Euphorbiaceae
Source: RNAcentral
UUCAAGUCUAGGCCAGGAAAACCUUCUGCUCUUUUCUUAGGACUUAUAGCAGCAGCGUGUGGGCAAUUGGAAGUUUUCCUACAGAAUUAUGGGCAUGGAAGCCAGCUGUUGCCAAAUGGAAUUAACAAUAGAAAGUCAACAGUGAAAGUCUACCAAAAUGGUGAUGGUUUCAAGUCUUGCAAUGGUUCAUUAAACGGUGUGCACAGCAACGGCAAUGGUGUGCACAGCAACGGAAAUGGCAAUGGUGUGCAUAGCAACGGCAA